This is a long non-coding RNA of Hemibagrus wyckioides, 2232 nucleotides long. RefSeq lists it as uncharacterized. The transcript is spliced from 9 exons. The record is from RefSeq and is a predicted model, not a curated record. NCBI's taxonomy places the organism in Eukaryota, Metazoa, Chordata, Actinopteri, Siluriformes, Bagridae.
UUUAAUGACUGUAAAAAACAAAAAAAAAAACAGUUUUAUGUUUAAUCAGUCACUCCUAGGUGAUAGACCACUAGGUCUGAAGGACUAGUCUGAGAUCAGGUGUUAAAUGCCUGAUAACUAAAUCAUACGAUUGUUAAGCUUGGGCCGGUGUGGUUAGGGUGCAUAAACAAAGUCCUACUAUUUUUUUAUAGUGAUUAUUGUAAGAUUUUGUUAAAACAGACAUACUAACAUCUAGCAUUAACUACUUUUUCUGUCUUACAGAUCACCAUGCACAAAAAAGGGUUCCAUAGGGGACCACUCGUAUAACUCCGGAUAACUCUAGGCCUGCCUCAAGUGCAGCAUCUAAGCCAACGGUAAUGGAAGAUGACUAUGACGAGUUACAGAGAGUGCAAAGCUGAACAUCUCCCCCUCCAAGCUGCAGUUGCAGUCUACACCACCACCACCAUCAUCAUCCUCAGCUGCUGAACUGGGACAGUCUGCUGGAUCAAGAAAAGUGUUCUGGCCAUGUUCCACUAACAAAUGUCUGUUCCAUUGGCAAAUAUACUAACUGUUCAAGGGGCUAUGAAUUGAUUCCCCAACCAUGAUGAACUGAUAUCAGCCACAAUCAGGUGCCAUCUGCUCCCCUCUCCGUACCACCUCCUGACAGCAAGUAACUGCCACCAGUCGAUGCACCAGACCUGCCGGCUCAGAAAACGUGCAUGCCCCUUCCCAAAGAGCUGAUGUUUCUUGUGCCAGAACAAUCAGCUUCCACACAAACUAAGAGACCAGUUUCAACAGACAGCAGCACCGUAGAAAGCUCUCCAGUGUGCAGAACACCUAUUAUUGAGGAAUGCGGCAAAGAUGAAAUUCUCUCAUCUUCAUACAGUGUUCCACAUACAGCCGAUGUAUCACAUGCCAAAGUCUCGCUACGGGAACGAUGGCUCCUCUAUCCACUUUUUUCAUCAGCAAGGCCCCAUCAGAUACUGGCAUCAGAUACAGAGCCUGUGCCCAUCUCAGGCGUCAUCGGGCACCAAGGCCUUAUUAGGAUAUAUUUUUUAUAAAUAUUUUAGAUGUAUUUUGUAUAUAUUUUCAGAUAGAAUUUGUAUUUAUUUUUAGAUAUAUUUUGUCUUUAUUUUAAUGUGUAGUAAAGUUAAUUAGUGUUUAAAGUAUGCAAUAAUAUGUGCUAUUUGUGCUUAUAGUUCACAAAGACGUAUGCAGCAUUUCGUGACAAAUUGCAGCAAUUUUUUCACUCCGUUAAAAAAUGUCAUUCAUUUGCACUGAGUGGGAUUCGACCCGUGUUCCUGACAAACGUUUUAAUACAUUUGAAUUGGCUGUGACAUGAAUUCAGCACCUGGGACAGCAGCAGAAAAGCUUCAAUUUGAUUGGCUGGCACUGAAUGCCAACUAUACAUGUCUUAAAAGUGGUGAAAAUAGCUCUGAACAGGCGGAACACAAUCAGGAAUAUCGGCAGUGUUGCCGGAUUGGGCGGAUUCAAGCCCUAUUGGACUCCUUUUGGCCAUUUCUUACCGAGAAAAAAUGCAUUGAGCUGGUCGAUAAAAAUUUGGAUGCAACUGGCGGGUUUUUAUUUUUGACUACAAACAUGAUAUUUUAUUAAUUUACCAUGAAUAUGUAAUGUUGAGGUUUUAUUGAGUUUAGCCAAUAAGGUUGAGGAGAGUCCUGUCCAAUCAGACUUGAUUGGUGGGUUGUUGUAAUUGUUGUACUCGUUAAGCCAAUAUCAUCAUGUCAAAGUGGGGUAAAUAUAGAAAGUCCUACAGAAAAGAAUGGGAGAGCAACCUGUUCUAUAAUAUUUCAAGAGACGUUCUCAUCAGUUCUGUGAAGAUUCUCUGCAUUAAGUCCUUAUAAAAAAGUAAUUAUACGCUUUUAUUCUGCGAUACAAUUUUGAUGUUAUGUUUGAUAAUUAAACAAAACGUAGACAGGUAGCGUAGUGUGUGUGUGUGUGUGUGUGUGUGUUGCACUAAACCAUUUAUUUUGGGUUUUCUAUUUGUUAUUGGAUAAGUUAUCACAGUAUGCAUGUUGGGCUGGUAUUGUUUGAAAUGGGCGGAGUUUAAGAUGUAAUUGGGCCGGUAUUGUUUGAAAUGGGCGGGGUUUGAGAUGUAAUUGGGCUGGUAUUGUUUGAAAUGGGCGGGGUUUAAGCUAUAGUUGGACUGGAAAUCUUCAGUCCAAUCUGCAACACUGCACAGAACUGCAUCCUCGUCAUUUUAGUCAGGAUCAUUUGUUGCAUGUUAGGUCAUAU